Molecule: long non-coding RNA, 704 nt
Organism: Dendroctonus ponderosae (mountain pine beetle)
Lineage: Eukaryota; Metazoa; Arthropoda; Insecta; Coleoptera; Curculionidae
Exons: 2
Source: RefSeq, a predicted model, not a curated record
AGUUUUACCCCAAAAAAGAUUCUGUUAUUUUUUAUUGACAUGGUUAUAGCUAUUAUUUAACUGUAAAGCCCCCGACUUCGACUGAUAGCUCUCAAUGAAUGAACUAUUUUCAUGCCUCCUCAUAUCAUUUUCCAAUAAUACCAAAUUGACUCAGUGCAUCUGAUAGAUUGUUAAUUUUGUGCAUAGAUGAUAUGAUGAUUAUGUAGUAACAAAAAUUUCUCUCGGCUUUUGAGACCGUUUAUUUCAAGUUUUUUUAUUUUUUCAGGUCAGAAGAAAAAAGAUCUCGCAAAUUUAUCCUUCUUGUGUUUAUGUCAGUCAAAUUUGAUUUGAACUUAAUAACAACUUUUGUUAUCAUCAAUAACACCUGGAUUUUAGUUUAAUCCCAUGCAAACCCUCUAAAAGACUUUUUCAAAUGCAGUUAAUUAACAGACAUAGACAACAUCCAACUAUCUACCGAAACUCAAGCUGCAUUUAAAUCAGCUGAAACAAAUACCAAACGAGAAUAUGAACUCUGAAUUAAAAGUCAAAAGGCCAUGCCAACUUAAGUCAGUUGUCCAUCAUUGUUACAACAUCGCAAGAAGAGCUUCAAGGAAGACAGAUAGAAGAAUCGUGCUCGAGAUCUAAUCUACCUAGAUCGGAAGAAGUCAGCUGGUCAGUUUGAAGUGAUCUUGUGAAAAUAGUUUAAUAAAAAAUACUUAUAAUAA